AUUCCUACGGGAGGCAGCAGUGGGGAAUAUUGCACAAUGGGCGAAAGCCUGAUGCAGCAACGCCGCGUGAAGGAAGACGGUUUUCGGAUUGUAAACUUCUGUUCUUAGUGAAGAAUAAUGACGGUAACUAAGGAGCAAGCCCCGGCUAACUACGUGCCAGCAGCCGCGGUAAUACGUAGGGGGCAAGCGUUAUCCGGAAUUACUGGGUGUAAAGGGAGCGUAGACGGUUAAGUAAGUCUGGAGUGAAAGGCCGGGGCCCAACCCCGGGACUGCUCUGGAAACUAUUUAACUUGAGUGCAGGAGAG
RNAcentral lists this ribosomal RNA (305 nucleotides) under uncultured bacterium. Its description in RNAcentral is "bacterial SSU rRNA". It matches the Rfam family "Bacterial small subunit ribosomal RNA", at positions 335 to 656 of the family's 1533-position model. The record is from RNAcentral.